GCGGGGCGAAGCCUUGCGCCGUCCCUCGCCCUCCGCCCCGGCUCGGACCUCUCCCGUUGUCCGCCGCCCUGCCCUGGGCGUGGAGCCCGUCCUGGAGAAGAGUGUGAGGAGGGCACGGGGCAGCCCCUCUCCUGGUCUGCUUUCCCGGGCAGCCUCUCCUCUGGAGCACGUCCAGAGAAGGGCACCGAAGCUGGUGACGGGUGUGGAGAACAAGUCUUGGAAGAGCCGCUGAGGGAACUGGAGUUGUUCAGCCCAGGGCAAAGGGGGCUGAGGGGAGCCCUUCUUGCACUUCACAGCUCCUUGAAAGGAGGUGGCAGAAAAGUGAGCGUUGAUCUCUUCUCCCACGUAACAAGUGACAGGAGAAGAAGAAACAGCCUCAAGUUGCGCCAGAGGUUUUAGGUGGAUGCUAGGAACAGUUUCUUUACUGAAAGAGUGGUCAGGCACUGGGGCAGGCCGCAAAGGGCAGCACUCUGGAGGUGUUAAAAAACCAUGUGUAAACAUGUCCCUUUGGCACAGAGUUUGGGGGUGACCUGGCACCAUUGGGUUAACAAUUGGACUGAAAUUAAAAGUCUUUUCCAAACAGAGCGAUUCUAUGAGUCUGUGACCAGCAGCUGGUGUCCACCCACUCCUGAGGCACUCCCUGUGUGGGUUUAUGUGCUUUGGCUUUGGGAUUUUUUUUAAGGGAAAAACAGACUGUGGGAGUUGCAGAGGCUGAAGCAGGACCCUCUCAGCUACAGCAGGUUGUCUGGAUGGCCCCAUCAUCACAACCAGCUUGCCUAGAGCUUCCUGAGCACAGGCACCAGGCUGGCACUGAGAUCUCAGCGGCAUGUGUUUGCUCCUGGUUGGAAAAGCAGAGCAAGGUUGCCCUCUUUCUUCCGAAGGCGUUAGAGACGCUGCGCUCCCGCUGCCGUGCUGGAAUUGUGCACAUCUUUUCCCCAUCACAGCCCCCAUCGUCUCCAGCUACCAGGAACCUCUCACAAGCCUUGGUAUUAUUUUCCCUGCCUACUGCACCUGCUAAGAAAAAACCUUUUCUACACAC
Molecule: long non-coding RNA, 1039 nt
Organism: Pogoniulus pusillus (Red-fronted tinkerbird)
Lineage: Eukaryota; Metazoa; Chordata; Aves; Piciformes; Lybiidae
Exons: 2
Source: RefSeq, a predicted model, not a curated record